Molecule: ribosomal RNA, 2908 nt
Filed under: Klebsiella pasteurii
Lineage: Bacteria; Pseudomonadati; Pseudomonadota; Gammaproteobacteria; Enterobacterales; Enterobacteriaceae
Description: 23S ribosomal RNA
Rfam family: Bacterial large subunit ribosomal RNA
Source: RNAcentral
GGUUAAGCGACUAAGCGUACACGGUGGAUGCCCUGGCAGUCAGAGGCGAUGAAGGACGUGCUAAUCUGCGAAAAGCGUCGGUAAGGUGAUAUGAACCGUUACAGCCGGCGAUGUCCGAAUGGGGAAACCCAGUGCAAUUCGUUGCACUAUCGUUUGAUGAAUACAUAGUCAAACGAGGCGAACCGGGGGAACUGAAACAUCUAAGUACCCCGAGGAAAAGAAAUCAACCGAGAUUCCCCCAGUAGCGGCGAGCGAACGGGGAGCAGCCCGGAGUCUGAAUCAGCUUGUGUGUUAGUGGAAGCGUCUGGAAAGUCGCAGGGUACAGGGUGAUACUCCCGUACACUAAAACACACAGGUUGUGAACUCGAAGAGUAGGGCGGGACACGUGGUAUCCUGUCUGAAUAUGGGGGGACCAUCCUCCAAGGCUAAAUACUCCUGACUGACCGAUAGUGAACCAGUACCGUGAGGGAAAGGCGAAAAGAACCCCGGCGAGGGGAGUGAAAAAGAACCUGAAACCGUGUACGUACAAGCAGUAGGAGCCCACUUGUUGGGUGACUGCGUACCUUUUGUAUAAUGGGUCAGCGACUUAUAUUCUGUAGCAAGGUUAACCGUAUAGGGGAGCCGCAGGGAAACCGAGUCUUAACUGGGCGUUAAGUUGCAGGGUAUAGACCCGAAACCCGGUGAUCUAGCCAUGGGCAGGUUGAAGGUUGGGUAACACUAACUGGAGGACCGAACCGACUAAUGUUGAAAAAUUAGCGGAUGACUUGUGGCUGGGGGUGAAAGGCCAAUCAAACCGGGAGAUAGCUGGUUCUCCCCGAAAGCUAUUUAGGUAGCGCCUCGUGAACUCAUCUUCGGGGGUAGAGCACUGUUUCGGCUAGGGGGUCAUCCCGACUUACCAACCCGAUGCAAACUACGAAUACCGAAGAAUGUUAUCACGGGAGACACACGGCGGGUGCUAACGUCCGUCGUGAAGAGGGAAACAACCCAGACCGCCAGCUAAGGUCCCAAAGUCAUGGUUAAGUGGGAAACGAUGUGGGAAGGCCCAGACAGCCAGGAUGUUGGCUUAGAAGCAGCCAUCAUUUAAAGAAAGCGUAAUAGCUCACUGGUCGAGUCGGCCUGCGCGGAAGAUGUAACGGGGCUAAACCAUGCACCGAAGCUGCGGCAGCGACGCUUAUGCGUUGUUGGGUAGGGGAGCGUUCUGUAAGCCGUUGAAGGUGGCCUGUGAGGGUUGCUGGAGGUAUCAGAAGUGCGAAUGCUGACAUAAGUAACGAUAAUGCGGGUGAAAAACCCGCACGCCGGAAGACCAAGGGUUCCUGUCCAACGUUAAUCGGGGCAGGGUGAGUCGACCCCUAAGGCGAGGCCGAAAGGCGUAGUCGAUGGGAAACAGGUUAAUAUUCCUGUACUUGGUGUUACUGCGAAGGGGGGACGGAGAAGGCUAUGUUGGCCGGGCGACGGUUGUCCCGGUUUAAGCAUGUAGGCGGAUGUUCCAGGUAAAUCCGGAACGUUAUUAACGCUGAGGUGUGAUGACGAGGCACUACGGUGCUGAAGUGACAAAUGCCCUGCUUCCAGGAAAAGCCUCUAAGCAUCAGGUAACAUCAAAUCGUACCCCAAACCGACACAGGUGGUCAGGUAGAGAAUACCAAGGCGCUUGAGAGAACUCGGGUGAAGGAACUAGGCAAAAUGGUGCCGUAACUUCGGGAGAAGGCACGCUGAUAUGUAGGUGAAGUGAUUUACUCAUGGAGCUGAAAUCAGUCGAAGAUACCAGCUGGCUGCAACUGUUUAUUAAAAACACAGCACUGUGCAAACACGAAAGUGGACGUAUACGGUGUGACGCCUGCCCGGUGCCGGAAGGUUAAUUGAUGGGGUUAUCCGUAAGGAGAAGCUCUUGAUCGAAGCCCCGGUAAACGGCGGCCGUAACUAUAACGGUCCUAAGGUAGCGAAAUUCCUUGUCGGGUAAGUUCCGACCUGCACGAAUGGCGUAAUGAUGGCCAGGCUGUCUCCACCCGAGACUCAGUGAAAUUGAACUCGCUGUGAAGAUGCAGUGUACCCGCGGCAAGACGGAAAGACCCCGUGAACCUUUACUAUAGCUUGACACUGAACACUGGUCCUUGAUGUGUAGGAUAGGUGGGAGGCUUUGAAGUGUGGACGCCAGUCUGCAUGGAGCCAUCCUUGAAAUACCACCCUUUAAUGGCUGGUGUUCUAACGUGGGCCCGUAAUCCGGGUUGCGGACAGUGUCUGGUGGGUAGUUUGACUGGGGCGGUCUCCUCCUAAAGAGUAACGGAGGAGCACGAAGGUCAGCUAAUCCUGGUCGGACAUCAGGAGGUUAGUGCAAUGGCAUAAGCUGGCUUGACUGCGAGCGUGACGGCGCGAGCAGGUGCGAAAGCAGGUCAUAGUGAUCCGGUGGUUCUGAAUGGAAGGGCCAUCGCUCAACGGAUAAAAGGUACUCCGGGGAUAACAGGCUGAUACCGCCCAAGAGUUCAUAUCGACGGCGGUGUUUGGCACCUCGAUGUCGGCUCAUCACAUCCUGGGGCUGAAGUAGGUCCCAAGGGUAUGGCUGUUCGCCAUUUAAAGUGGUACGCGAGCUGGGUUUAGAACGUCGUGAGACAGUUCGGUCCCUAUCUGCCGUGGGCGCUGGAGAAUUGAGGGGGGCUGCUCCUAGUACGAGAGGACCGGAGUGGACGCAUCACUGGUGUUCGGGUUGUCAUGCCAAUGGCAUUGCCCGGUAGCUAAAUGCGGAAGAGAUAAGUGCUGAAAGCAUCUAAGUACGAAACUUGCCCCGAGAUGAGUUCUCCCUGACCCUUUAAGGGUCCUGAAGGAACGUUGAAGACGACGACGUUGAUAGGCCGGGUGUGUAAGCGCAGCGAUGCGUUGAGCUAACCGGUACUAAUGAACCGUGAGGCUUAACCUU